This 374-nucleotide ribosomal RNA is filed under the name uncultured organism. Its description in RNAcentral is "partial 16S ribosomal RNA". It matches the Rfam family "Bacterial small subunit ribosomal RNA", at positions 527 to 896 of the family's 1533-position model. The record is from RNAcentral.
GUAGGUGGCAAGCGUUGUCCGGAAUUAUUGGGGCGUAAAGCGUGCGCAGGCGGUUCUUUAAGUCUGAUGUGAAAGCCCACGGGCUCAACCGUGGAGGGUCAUUGGAAACUGGAGAACUUGAGUACAGAAGAGGAAAGCGGAAUUCCACGUGUAGCGGUGAAAUGCGUAGAGAUGUGGAGGAACACCAGUGGCGAAGGCGGCUUUCUGGUCUGUAACUGACGCUGAGGCGCGAAAGCGUGGGGAGCAAACAGGAUUAGAUACCCUGGUAGUCCACGCCGUAAACGAUGAGUGCUAAGUGUUAGGGGGUUUCCGCCCCUUAGUGCUGCAGCUAACGCAUUAAGCACUCCGCCUGGGGAGUACGGCCGCAAAGGCUG